UCCACCGUUGUCGCGUUCUGAGAUGUCCAGCUUGUGCCUGGAUUUCAGGCUGACAUCUCAGAACUCGAGAACAGUACA
This 78-nucleotide microRNA precursor is filed under the name Anolis carolinensis (green anole). Its description in RNAcentral is "microRNA aca-mir-5410 precursor". Lineage: Eukaryota; Metazoa; Chordata; Lepidosauria; Squamata; Anolidae. The record is from miRBase by way of RNAcentral.